Molecule: non-coding RNA, 712 nt
Organism: Callithrix jacchus (white-tufted-ear marmoset)
Lineage: Eukaryota; Metazoa; Chordata; Mammalia; Primates; Cebidae
Source: RefSeq, a predicted model, not a curated record
UGGCUCGCGCCUCGGCGGUGCUCACCAGGCCUCGCUCUCCGCCGCCGCGAACCGAGAAGCAAGACUCAGCUCAGCCGGCGUUCGCAGUGCGCCUGCGUGCGGGGGCCGGCCCGAGCGCCUGCGCGCGUCUCUCCAGCGCUUGCCGCAGAGGCUGCCGGGAAAUGUAGUCUUAUAAGGCUCUCUCGCCAGACGCUCCUUGCUGCUAGCGCCCAGCCUGUGAAGAGUCGGGGAUGGGGGAGAGGGUCUCACUAAAAAGGAGAUCUGCAGGCCUUGGCAAAGGUUGGAGAAAGUUAUGUGUACAAACCUGUCUUUGCUAGGCUCUUCCAGGGCGGAUCGAUCCUCACCUCUGUAUGUCUAGCCUCUAACACAACUGGAGCUAGAGAUUUGCCUGCUGGCCUUGAAGAAGCAAGCUGUCAAGUUGUGUGAACCGCAUAUGGAGGAGACCACAUGGCAGCGAACUGCAGAUUGCUUCUAGAACUUGAGUGCAGCCUCCAGCUGACAAUCAGUAAGAAGCCAGGGCCCUCACUCAUACAACUACAAUCAAAUGAAUUCUGCCAGCAACCUGAGAGAGGUCAGUCUCCAGAUGAGAAGACAGCCUGACUUAUAUCUUGAUAGCAGUUUUGUGAGACCCUGAGCAAAGGAAACAGCUAAACUGUGCCUGGACUCCUGGUCCACAGAAACUGUGAGAUAAUAAAUGUGUCUUAAAAUACUA